AAACUUGAGCGGAAAUUGCUAAACCCUUUCUUCCACAAGUGUUGAAAAAAGUGACAUAUUUUAUUUUAUUUAAUAAACUUUAAUAUUUAGAGCAUGAUUUUACAGUAUUUUAGAAACAUUAUCGUUGCGACAAUUUGUUCUAUUUACACUGGGAGUGAAGGGGAGAGAAGCUAUGUUAAAUGUUUCUUUAGUUGGUUUAAACUAUUGGGUGGGUAUUAAGUAUGUUGGCGCAACAUGAAGUAAAAAUUAAA
RNAcentral lists this long non-coding RNA (251 nucleotides) under Lathyrus oleraceus (garden pea). Its description in RNAcentral is "Pisum sativum (pea) long non-coding RNA (PSAT_LNC039575)". The record is from RNAcentral. Lineage: Eukaryota; Viridiplantae; Streptophyta; Magnoliopsida; Fabales; Fabaceae.